ACAGAGAAUAGUUUAUAAAAUAUUAAUUUUGGAAAUUAAAGUUAAAAGAUAAUUUCUUUUUUCUCUG
This 67-nucleotide transfer RNA is filed under the name Gramastacus lacus. RNAcentral describes it as "tRNA-Pro". It matches the Rfam family "tRNA". Rfam says of the family: Transfer RNA (tRNA) molecules are approximately 80 nucleotides in length. Their secondary structure includes four short double-helical elements and three loops (D, anti-codon, and T loops). Lineage: Eukaryota; Metazoa; Arthropoda; Malacostraca; Decapoda; Parastacidae. The record is from RNAcentral.